Molecule: long non-coding RNA, 407 nt
Filed under: Gossypium barbadense (sea-island cotton)
Lineage: Eukaryota; Viridiplantae; Streptophyta; Magnoliopsida; Malvales; Malvaceae
Description: long non-coding RNA (GBAR_LNC019750)
Source: RNAcentral
UCAGGAUCCCAACUUCUAUGAAUCUUUUUCUUGAAAAAUGCAUGAACAAAGGACUCUUCCAUUGGGAUUUUAUCUUCUCCUAGCGUUGUGACACUAAUAUUAAGUGACUUUAUAGACCGGCGAAGAACAUUUGGACGUUGCACAGCGAAGAAAAAUCAGUUCUCUAAUUGAGAAAGUGAGAAUUCAUAAUGGUCUCAUCCUCAUUCUUCAGUUUCCAUUGCAACGAUCAUUUAUCGGUUGUGUUGUUUCCUAAUAUACAGACAAGAAUCGAAAAGUGGCAUGAAGUUCUGGACAUUGGGUGUGGGUGGGGAAUCUUAGCUAUUGAAGUUGUCAAAAGAACAGGAUGCAAGUAUACUGGCAUCACUCUAUCAGAGAAGCAGCUGAAGUAUGCUGAAGAUAAAGUGAAG